Tripterygium wilfordii is the source of this 2524-nucleotide RNA transcript. It is a transcript of the gene named phosphoglucomutase, chloroplastic-like, with no coding region annotated. The record is from RefSeq and is a predicted model, not a curated record. NCBI's taxonomy places the organism in Eukaryota, Viridiplantae, Streptophyta, Magnoliopsida, Celastrales, Celastraceae. The transcript is spliced from 8 exons.
CUCUUCGAGCCCAUAUGCAAAUGCAAGUACUGUGAUGCAAGAGAAUGAACUCAGAAUUCAUCGCCAAUGGCGUCGCUAAGAAUAGUCGAAAAUCUCCUUCAAAGCCGAAUCCAUGUCUCUCCGUCUUUCACGCAUUAUGUCCAACACACUCUCUCCGCUCACUCCCUCUCAUUCACUCUUCUCGAACCGAGAUCGCAAGUAUUGUCAUGCGCGAGACAGAACUCAGUAUUCAUCGCCAAUGGCGUCCCUGAGACUAGUCGAAAAUCUCCUUCCAAAACGAAUCCAUGUCUCUAUGUCUCUCACGUGUUAUCGUCUCUCUCUCUGCUAUCGUCCUCUCCGGCCUUGUUCUCAAAACAACCUUUUAGAACUAUUCGCCCUUUUUAACAACCUGCUCUCCCUCUCCCUCCUCCACCGCCAUUGCCGAAUCGAAGGAAUCAAGUUCCUCUUCCUCUUCCUCGUUUUUUGUUUGUGUUUUCGAUGAUUAAAUAUUGAAUUUCUGGUUUCUUGAUGUUUCCAGAUUAAUUCAGUACCGACGAAGCCGCGGAAGGCCAAAAGACCUGGAUCAGUGGAAUUUGAAAAGAAGGGACUUGUGGUUUUGAUGGAUUCAAAAUUUUCAUGUGCGGCCAUUGCUUGAUUCACUGCCUCCUGAGAACUAAGACAAUGGGCUCUUGGUAUUAGAAGGAGACGGUUGUUACUUUAAUCAAGACGCUGGUGAAUUUUCUUUGUUGUGUUCUGUUAGUAAUUAAUUGGUAAUUUUCCUUAUAUUUGCUCGCUUAGGUUGUUAAUAUACAGGAGAGGAAACUACAGCUUCCUGUAUCUCUAUGUCGCUUACAAACUCAGUUAAUUCUGUUUGUAACUGCAGAUUAUUAUUAUUAAGAUUGCUGCGGGAAAUGUGCAGGCAAAUUUUUGGUUGGCAAUUAAGUCUUUCCAUUGGCUAAUAUGCUUUUGUUUGUUGUAGCUGUUGUGUACGGGAAAUGAUGCCAAGUGCCUUUGGCUGGUAAAAUUCUUGGAACCUUUUUCUUAAGCUAAGAAUGGAUGUACCAAGACAAAACAUUUUGUUGCAGGGACAGUCUCAACCAUCCUUUUCAUGAGUCCACUUUCUAAACAUUGUACUUGAUAAAGUUCAGAGAUUCUUUCUCUUUAGAAGGUCUGAUGUCUACGCCAGCUGUUUCUGCUGCUAUCCGGAAGAGAAAGGCCAAUGGUGGAUUUACAAUGAAUCCAUAAUCCCGCCAGGCCCGAGUAAGAUUGGGGCAGCAAGGGUGAACUCCUUGAGCUCCUUCUUAGACACAUCUUGAAUCAUUAGGGAAUGAAUACAAUUCAGAUUUUCUUCACUUUCAUUAUAAAUUUCCAUUUUAUUCAAAACCUGUUUUUUUUUUUUUUGUGGCAAUGGAUUGCACUGCUUGCAAAAUCCGCUAAAUGAGGUUUUCCGGCUCAAAAGUGUAUUGUUUCUUUUGUUGUUCCAGUUCAAUUAUAGCAGUGGACAACCUGCACCUGAAUCAAUCACUGACAAGAUUUGUGGAAACACUCUUUCUUUGAUGGCCAGUAUCUGCUUGUACUUUGCUAUGGGUGUCCUAUGCGCCCUGCAUUGAAGAGUUUCUACAAUAUCAAAGAAGUUCACCAUUGGAAAUGAGCAUACCUGUGUUCCAGUUCAGGAGGCACUAUCCAUUUAAGAUAUUGGCUGAUUUUAUGUAUGCCGAUCAUGAUUCUGCUAGUGUUAUGAUGAGUUUAUUCUAUGCACUCUUGAUCUGCUCUCUGGAGUUGCUGAGGUCCUGGUAACGGCAUAGAGAGUUUGGCUCAUGCAUCCAAUCCCCAACUUUUGCGAUAAAAGGCUCGGAUGAUGUUGAUGAUGACGACUGAGCCAAACUCAUGGAUGUCUUUUAGUGAAAAGGUAACACCUGUUGGCUGACAGUUUUUUCCCUUCUUUUUCCUGAUAAUAUGGCUGACAUGAUUAGUUAAACACAUCCCUACGUUCUGUCAGCCAAUAUCCUUGCACCAGUGAUGCCAUAAAAAUGUGUUUGAUUCAUGAUUCAGAAACCUAAUAAAAUUAAAAUAGAAACCUAAUAAAAUUAUGAUAGAAACCUAAUCAAAAUCGAAAUAUCUUAUUUACGAAUUUUGAGGAUGUCACCUAUUUUACUUCUUUGGUCACCUUUUAAGGAUUUACUUGGAAUUUGGGAUCUUGUGUUGUUGCCAAAUGUUGAGUAAAUGAAUAAGCCUUCUUUGAUCUAUCCUAGUUGUGUAAACCAGUAAACCUUGCCACUUGAACUGCCAUGCCAUGUCAUCAGAUCUGUCGGGCCCCACAAUCUGAUCCUUAUGUUGCUGCUGUUUCGAAAUUGUUUCAUUUCUCUUCUAGUAAGGUAUUUUACUUUUCUUAAGUUAGCAUUUUUUUUUUCAUUUUCUAUAAUCGUUUUAUAUGUGCUUUCCAUUGGUUAGUGAGCGUCCAUAAUUUUACUAGGCCUCUUUACUGGAUAAGUAGAUAUAAAUGACUGUUUGAUUCUAUAAUCCUUGUUGGCUGUGAUUGAUACUA